RNAcentral lists this long non-coding RNA (403 nucleotides) under Linum usitatissimum (flax). RNAcentral describes it as "long non-coding RNA (LUSI_LNC001477)". The record is from RNAcentral. Lineage: Eukaryota; Viridiplantae; Streptophyta; Magnoliopsida; Malpighiales; Linaceae.
AAACCUUUCAUUCUGCAAACGCCAUGGAACCCUAAGCAAAAUAUAUUCCACCGCCCAAAAACAGCUAUACAUUUUGAAAAGGAUACAGACUCCUCAAACUAUGAGUACCCACAAAGGGGAAAAACAAUCAAUACACACAAAGGAAAGAAAGAAGAAAAAAACUAUGUCCUUCCUCAAGUCGAGCUCACAUAAAUGAUAGGCAUCAGAAGAAAAUUUAAUGCUCUUUUCUUUUCAUUAUUUUGGGUACAUAACAGAAAAAUCCACAGAGAGUGGAUUAAGUUGCCUCUCAGUAAAUAAAAACCAGUCGAUAGGUACACAUGGAUUUUGGAAGUCGUUGCAUGAUAGCCAUUAAAGAACCACCUCCUUUCACAGGUCGCAAACAUCAAUUGCCUUUUGUGAAAGC